This is a long non-coding RNA of Neopelma chrysocephalum (saffron-crested tyrant-manakin), 1338 nucleotides long. RefSeq lists it as uncharacterized. NCBI's taxonomy places the organism in Eukaryota, Metazoa, Chordata, Aves, Passeriformes, Pipridae. The transcript has 3 exons. The record is from RefSeq and is a predicted model, not a curated record.
GGAACACCCCUAUUUUUACCAUUCCCAAAAAGUCUGGAAAGUGGUGUCUUUUACAUGAUCUCCGAGCUAUUAAUGAGGUCAUGGAGGACAUGGGAACGCUACAACCAGGACUCCCAUCCCCUGUCAUGAUUCCAAAAGAUUGGGACAUCGUAAUUAUUGACUUGAAAGAUUGCUUUUUUACAACCUUUUUGCAUCCUCAGGAUGCAGAGAGGUUUGCUUUUACUGUGCCUUCCACCAGUAAGGCCGAACCUGCCAAAUGUUAUCACUGGGUGACUUUGCCCCAAGGCAUGAAAAAUUCCCCCACAUUAUGUCAAAUGUACAUUGCAUGGGCAUUGCAACCUUUCAGAAAGGAACAUCCCCAUUUGCUAGUGUAUCACUAUGUAGAUUAUAUUCUGAUUGCAGGAAAACAAUUGGAGGCAAAUCUGAUUGUGGCUGAGUUGCAGGUACAGCUGGAGAAGCAAGGGUUAAAAAUUGCCCCAGAAAAGGUACAAAAAAGUGAUCCAUGGAAGUAUCUGGGAUGGAUCAUCACCCAAGGAACAGUGCGCCCACAGAAAAUUGAUGUAAACACACAAUUAUCAACUUUAGCAGAUGUGCAGCAACUAAUGGGAGAUAUUCAGUGGGUUAGACCUGUGUGGAAUCACCAACGACGACAUACGUCCUCUUAUGCCACUGCUGGGAAGAUCUACUGAUGCAGAUGAACACAACGAACUCACUGCACUGCAAAAGAAAGCUUUACAAAAAAUAGCAGACAAAGUAGCUUCAGGAUAUAGCAAUUGCAUAAUAGCAGAGUGUGCAGUGACUGUGAUGAUCAUUAACUCAGGAGGGGAAAAACAGCACCCCCUUGGGUUAAUUUGUCAGUUAACAGAUAAUAAGAAACUGAAUAUCUUGGAAUGGAGAUGUGUUGCAUGAAUCUAUCUGAUCACUCAGAAAGCAUCUCUAAACAGCUUUGAGAGAUGAAGGAGCGCAUGUCUCACAUCACCUAUGAUGAGGACAAAUUGUCCAAUUGGCUAGGCAAGUUUGGCAUCACUGGUUGGGUGAAAGAAUUAGUAGUUCAGGGGUUGACACUUUUGAUAGCUAUAAUUUGUUGUGUAUUAAUUGUUAGUUGUGCUUUACAAUGUAUAAUGAAAAUGAUCCACAAAGUUUUCAAACAAAUAUGGAUUGUUCAAAAACAAAACGGGGGAUUUGUAGACUAUUUGAGGAAAAUGGACAUAUUCUGAACAAUCCAUAUUUUUGAGAAACACUAGGCCUUGCUUGUCAUAACUUUAGAGGCUGCAAGCUGUGUGAAAAGCUCUGGGUUUAUACUUACAAACUGUGAAACUAUGCAAUGUUUAUACUUGU